GAUGAACGCUGGCGGCGUGCCUAAUACAUGCAAGUCGAGCGAACAGACGAGGAGCUUGCUCCUCUGACGUUAGCGGCGGGCGGGUGAGUAACACGUGGAUAACCUACCUAUAAGACUGGGAUAACUUCGGGAAACCGGAGCUAAUACCGGAUAAUAUAUUGAACCGCAUGGUUCAAUAGUGAAAGACGGUUUUGCUGUCACUUAUAGAUGGAUCCGCGCCGCAUUAGCUAGUUGGUAAGGUAACGGCUUACCAAGGCAACGAUGCGUAGCCGACCGGAGAGGGUGAUCGGCCACACUGGAACUGGGACACGGUCCAGACUCCUACGGGAGGCAGCAGUAGGGAAUCUUCCGCAAUGGGCGAAAGCCUGACGGAGCAACGCCGCGUGAGUGAUGAAGGUCUUCGGAUCGUAAAACUCUGUUAUUAGGGAAGAACAAAUGUGUAAGUAACUAUGCACGUCUUGACGGUACCUAAUCAGAAAGCCACGGCUAACUACGUG
Molecule: ribosomal RNA, 497 nt
Filed under: uncultured bacterium
Lineage: Bacteria
Description: partial 16S ribosomal RNA
Rfam family: Bacterial small subunit ribosomal RNA
Source: RNAcentral